This 1377-nucleotide ribosomal RNA is filed under the name uncultured bacterium. RNAcentral's name for it is "bacterial SSU rRNA". It matches the Rfam family "Bacterial small subunit ribosomal RNA", at positions 29 to 1394 of the family's 1533-position model. The record is from RNAcentral.
UUGAACGCUGGCGGCAGGCCUAACACAUGCAAGUCGAACGGCAGCACAGAAGAGCUUGCUCUUUGGGUGGCGAGUGGCGGACGGGUGAGUAAUGUCUGGGAAACUGCCUGAUGGAGGGGGAUAACUACUGGAAACGGUAGCUAAUACCGCAUAACGUCGCGAGACCAAAGUGGGGGACCUUCGGGCCUCACACCAUCGGAUGUGCCCAGAUGGGAUUAGCUAGUAGGUGGGGUAAUGGCUCACCUAGGCGACGAUCCCUAGCUGGUCUGAGAGGAUGACCAGCCACACUGGAACUGAGACACGGUCCAGACUCCUACGGGAGGCAGCAGUGGGGAAUAUUGCACAAUGGGCGCAAGCCUGAUGCAGCCAUGCCGCGUGUAUGAAGAAGGCCUUCGGGUUGUAAAGUACUUUCAGCGGGGAGGAAGGCGGUGAGGUUAAUAACCUCGCCGAUUGACGUUACCCGCAGAAGAAGCACCGGCUAACUCCGUGCCAGCAGCCGCGGUAAUACGGAGGGUGCAAGCGUUAAUCGGAAUUACUGGGCGUAAAGCGCACGCAGGCGGUCUGUUAAGUCAGAUGUGAAAUCCCCGGGCUUAACCUGGGAACUGCAUUUGAAACUGGCAGGCUUGAGUCUCGUAGAGGGGGGUAGAAUUCCCAGGUGUAGCGGUGAAAUGCGUAGAGAUCUGGAGGAAUACCGGUGGCGAAGGCGGCCCCCUGGACGAAGACUGACGCUCAGGUGCGAAAGCGUGGGGAGCAAACAGGAUUAGAUACCCCUGGUAGUCCACGCCGUAAACGAUGUCGACUUGGAGGUUGUGCCCUUGAGGCGUGGCUUCCGGAGCUAACGCGUUAAGUCGACCGCCUGGGGAGUACGGCCGCAAGGUUAAAACUCAAAUGAAUUGACGGGGGCCCGCACAAGCGGUGGAGCAUGUGGUUUAAUUCGAUGCAACGCGAAGAACCUUACCUGGCCUUGACAUCCAGAGAACUUAGCAGAGAUGCUUUGGUGCCUUCGGGAACUCUGAGACAGGUGCUGCAUGGCUGUCGUCAGCUCGUGUUGUGAAAUGUUGGGUUAAGUCCCGCAACGAGCGCAACCCUUAUCCUUUGUUGCCAGCGGCUCGGCCGGGAACUCAAAGGAGACUGCCGGUGAUAAACCGGAGGAAGGUGGGGAUGACGUCAAGUCAUCAUGGCCCUUACGGCCAGGGCUACACACGUGCUACAAUGGCGCAUACAAAGAGAAGCGACCUCGCGAGAGCAAGCGGACCUCAUAAAGUGCGUCGUAGUCCGGAUUGGAGUCUGCAACUCGACUCCAUGAAGUCGGAAUCGCUAGUAAUCGUAGAUCAGAAUGCUACGGUGAAUACGUUCCCGGGCCUUGUACACACCGCC